UGUUUAUCUCUAGGGUUGAUCUAUUAGAAUUACUUAUCUGAGCCAAAGUAAUUCAAGUAAUUCAGGUGUAGUGAAA
This 76-nucleotide microRNA precursor is filed under the name Pan troglodytes (chimpanzee). Its description in RNAcentral is "microRNA ptr-mir-1297 precursor". It matches the Rfam family "mir-1297 microRNA precursor family". Lineage: Eukaryota; Metazoa; Chordata; Mammalia; Primates; Hominidae. The record is from miRBase by way of RNAcentral.